CUUUUGGAUAGCGUAGUUUGUAACGUUCUAUUCAACAUUAUCAAUAUACAAUUAAGCUUUCCAGCAUCUCUCUUACCGGUGUUUGAAUUGGAGUUAAAACUCUACACUCUCAUCGUCUAGGGCUUUAGCAGCCACUCUCAGAAAGAAACCUCCAAACCUUAGAGAGAGAACAGCUCAAAAUGCCGGCUGGACACGGUCUCAGGUCUCGUACUCGCGAUCUCUUCUCGCGGGCCUUCAGGAAGAAGGGUUACAUUCCUCUCUCAACCUAUCUGAAGACCUACAGGAUCGGAGACUAUGUCGACGUCAAGGUUAACGGCGCUGUGCACAAGGGUAUGCCCCACAAGUUCUACCACGGACGUACUGGUCGCGUUUGGAACGUCACCAAGCGCGCCAUCGGUGUGGAGAUCAACAAGCAGGUUGGCAACAGGAUUAUCAGGAAGAGGAUCCAUGUGCGUGUGGAGCAUGUGCAGCCUUCAAGGUGCACUGAGGAAUUCUGUUUGAGGAAGAUAAAGAAUGAUCAGUUGAAGGCUGAGGCCAAGGCAAAGGGUGAGGUUAUUAGCACCAAGAGGCAGCCAAAGGGACCCAAGCCAGGUUUCAGGGUUGAAGGGGCAGUCAUGGAAACUGUUACUCCCAUUCCUUAUGAUGUCGUCAAUGAUCUUAAAGGAGGCUACUAGAUCUAUUUUAUGGUUCUGUUGGUUGUCCCCAAGGACUGGUCUAGUUUAUUCAAGUGCUUCUUUAGUUUGAGAUAAAUAAAUACAGCCCAGUUUUCUCCUGCUAUUUCUUCUUGUCUCAGCUAUUGGUUUUUCCCCCCUUUUAAUUAGGCAGUUGAAUUCGGCACUUGCUCAGUGGUUCGCGGCGAUGCGGAGCACUGGUGCCAUAAGCUGAUUGAUCAAUCAAGCAGAUGCGAGCUACAUAGUUGCAUUAAGGAAUGCUCCAAAGAACCAUCUGGUGUGGGAGUGUGCCAAAAUACAGUUUGUUUUUGCACAUACUAUUGUAAGGAUCCUGUAAAGUGAUUACGAGUCAUUUCAUGAGGGCCUGAGGACACGUACGGACGGGCUGUAAAAGCAAUAUCAAGCACAUAACAUUGUUAAUAGUGGGAGAUUUACAUUCAAGUUCUUGUUUAUGUUGUUGUUCAGUAAUCACAUUACCCUUAAUUAUAACAUAAACUUUGAUCCUAACAUGAUCAAUUUGGAUAACCCGGGUUCAACCCGAAUUCAGCCAUGGAUGAGUGUUGGAUUUA
RNA transcript from Prunus dulcis (almond), 1240 nucleotides. It is a transcript of the gene named 60S ribosomal protein L21-1-like, with no coding region annotated. The transcript has 4 exons. The record is from RefSeq and is a predicted model, not a curated record. NCBI's taxonomy places the organism in Eukaryota, Viridiplantae, Streptophyta, Magnoliopsida, Rosales, Rosaceae.